This 213-nucleotide ribosomal RNA is filed under the name Porphyromonadaceae bacterium. RNAcentral describes it as "partial 16S ribosomal RNA". It matches the Rfam family "Bacterial small subunit ribosomal RNA", at positions 1 to 198 of the family's 1533-position model. The record is from RNAcentral. Lineage: Bacteria; Pseudomonadati; Bacteroidota; Bacteroidia; Bacteroidales; Porphyromonadaceae.
UAUUGACAAUGAAGAGUUUGAUCCUGGCUCAGGAUGAACGCUAGCGAUAGGCUUAACACAUGCAAGUCGAGGGGCAGCAUGGUCUUAGCUUGCUAAGACUGAUGGCGACCGGCGCACGGGUGCGUAACGCGUAUGCAACUUGCCUCACAGAGGGGGAUAACCCGUCGAAAGACGGACUAAUACCGCGUACACUCUAUGUUGGGCAUCCAAUGU